CCUACGGGAGGCAGCAGUAGGGAAUAUUGCUCAAUGGGGGAAACCCUGAAGCAGCGACGCCGCGUGGAGGAUGAAGGCUUUAGGAUUGUAAAGUUCUUUUGUGAGAGAAGAAAAUGACGGUAUCUCACGAAUAAGCUCCGGCUAACUCCGUGCCAGCAGCCGCGGUAAUACGGAGGGUGCCAGCGUUAUCCGGAAUCACUGGGCGUAAAGAGUGCGCAGGCGGGCUUGUAAGUCAGAUGUGAAAUCCUGCAGCUUAACUGCAGAACUGCAUUUGAAACUGGGAGGCUAGAGUGCGGGAGAGGUAGGUGGAAUUCGUGGUGUAGCGGUAAAAUGCGUAGAUAUCAAGAGGAACACUCAUUGCGAAGGCGGCCUACUGGAACAUUACUGACGCUGAUGCUCGAAAGCGUGGGGAGCAAACAGGAUUAGAUACCCGAGUAGUC
RNAcentral lists this ribosomal RNA (440 nucleotides) under uncultured bacterium. RNAcentral describes it as "partial 16S ribosomal RNA". It matches the Rfam family "Bacterial small subunit ribosomal RNA", at positions 338 to 795 of the family's 1533-position model. The record is from RNAcentral.